GGAGAGGUGGCUGAGUGGUCUAAAGCGCCGGUCUUGAAAACCGGUGAGGUCGUAAGGCCUCCGUGAGUUCAAAUCUCACCCUCUCCG
RNAcentral lists this transfer RNA (87 nucleotides) under Bdellovibrio sp. Its description in RNAcentral is "tRNA-Ser". It matches the Rfam family "tRNA". Rfam says of the family: Transfer RNA (tRNA) molecules are approximately 80 nucleotides in length. Their secondary structure includes four short double-helical elements and three loops (D, anti-codon, and T loops). Further hydrogen bonds mediate the characteristic L-shaped molecular structure. tRNAs have two regions of fundamental functional importance: the anti-codon, which is responsible for specific mRNA codon recognition, and the 3' end, to which the tRNAs corresponding amino acid is attached (by aminoacyl-tRNA synthetases). tRNAs cope with the degeneracy of the genetic code in two manners: having more than one tRNA (with a specific anti-codon) for a particular amino acid; and 'wobble' base-pairing, i.e. permitting non-standard base-pairing at the 3rd anti-codon position. Lineage: Bacteria; Pseudomonadati; Bdellovibrionota; Bdellovibrionia; Bdellovibrionales; Pseudobdellovibrionaceae. The record is from RNAcentral.